UACGAGGGGAGCAAGCGUUGUUCGGAUUUACUGGGCGUAAAGGGCGCGUAGGCGGCCACGACAAGUCACUUGUGAAAUCUCCGGGCUUAACUCGGAACGGUCAAGUGAUACUGUCGGGCUAGAGUACAGAAGGGGCAACUGGAAUUCUCGGUGUAGCGGUGAAAUGCGUAGAUAUUCGGAAGAACACCUGCGGCGAAGGCGGGUUGCUGGGCUGACACUGACGCUGAUGCGCGAAAGCCAGGGGAGCGAACGGG
RNAcentral lists this ribosomal RNA (254 nucleotides) under uncultured bacterium. Its description in RNAcentral is "partial 16S ribosomal RNA". It matches the Rfam family "Bacterial small subunit ribosomal RNA", at positions 524 to 776 of the family's 1533-position model. The record is from RNAcentral.